AGAGCCUGUUCCUGGCUCAGAUCGAACGCUGGCGGCAGGCCUAACACACUGCAAGUCGAGCGGCAGCGACAAUAACAAUCCUUCGGGUGCGUUAUUGGGCGGCGAGCGGCGGACGGGUGAGUAAUGCCUGGGAAGCUACCCAGUAGAGGGGGAUAACCAUUGGAAACGAUGGCUAAUACCGCAUAACCUCUUCGGAGCAAAGCAGGGGACCUUCGGGCCUUGCGCUACUGGAUGCGCCCAGGUGAGAUUAGCUAGUUGGUGAGGUAAGAGCUCACCAAGGCGACGAUCUCUAGCUGGUCUGAGAGGAUGAUCAGCCACACUGGAACUGAGACACGGUCCAGACUCCUACGGGAGGCAGCAGUGGGGAAUAUUGCACAAUGGGCGAAAGCCUGAUGCAGCCAUGCCGCGUGUAUGAAGAAGGCCUUAGGGUUGUAAAGUACUUUCAGCAGUGAGGAAGGCGGUAAGAUUAAUACUCUUAUCGUUUGACGUUAGCUGCAGAAGAAGCACCGGCUAACUCCGUGCCAGCAGCCGCGGUAAUACGGAGGGUGCGAGCGUUAAUCGGAAUUACUGGGCGUAAAGCGCAUGCAGGCGGCCUAUUAAGUCAGAUGUGAAAGCCCGGAGCUCAACUCCGGAAGGUCAUUUGAAACUGGUAGGCUAGAGUCUUGUAGAGGGGGGUAGAAUUUCAGGUGCAGCGGUGAAAUGCGUAGAGAUCUGAAGGAAUACCAGUGGCGAAGGCGGGCCCCCUGGACAAAGACUGACGCUCAGAUGCGAAAAGCGUGGGGUAGCAAACGGGAUUAGAUACCCCGGUAGUCCACGCCGUAAACGAUGUCUACUUGAAGGUUGUGGCCUUGAGCCGUGGCUUUCGGAGCUAACGCGUUAAGUAGACCGCCUGGGGAGUACGGUCGCAAGAUUAAAACUCAAAUGAAUUGACGGGGGCCCGCACAAGCGGUGGAGCAUGUGGUUUAAUUCGAUGCAACGCGAAGAACCUUACCUACUCUUGACAUCUACAGAAGCCAGCGGAGACGCAGGUGUGCCUUCGGGAACUGUAAGACAGGUGCUGCAUGGCUGUCGUCAGCUCGUGUUGUGAAAUGUUGGGUUAAGUCCCGCAACGAGCGCAACCCUUAUCCUUGUUUGCCAGCACAUAAUGGUGGGAACUCCAGGGAGACUGCCGGUGAUAAACCGGAGGAAGGUGGGGACGACGUCAAGUCAUCAUGGCCCUUACGAGUAGGGCUACACACGUGCUACAAUGGCGCAUACAGAGGGCAGCAAGCUAGCGGUAGUGAGCGAAUCCCAAAAAGUGCGUCGUAGUCCGGAUUGGAGUCUGCAACUCGACUCCAUGAAGUCGGAAUCGCUAGUAAUCGUGGAUCAGAAUGCCACGGUGAAUACGUUCCCGGGCCUUGUACACACCGCCCGUCACACCAUGGGAGUGGGUUGCUCCAGAAGUGGCUAGUCUAACCUUCGGGAAGGGCGGUCACCACGGAGUGAUUCAUGACUGGGGUGAAGUCGUAACAAGGUAACCUAAAGGCGAAUCGUA
This 1534-nucleotide ribosomal RNA is filed under the name uncultured bacterium. RNAcentral describes it as "bacterial SSU rRNA". It matches the Rfam family "Bacterial small subunit ribosomal RNA". The record is from RNAcentral.